AUACGUAGGGAGCGAGCGUUGUCCGGAAUUACUGGGUGUAAAGGGAGCGUAGGCGGGAGUGCAAGUCAGAUGUGAAAUACAUGGGCUCAACCCAUGGGCUGCAUUUGAAACUGCAUUUCUUGAGUGAAGUAGAGGUAAGCGGAAUUCCUGGUGUAGCGGUGAAAUGCGUAGAUAUCAGGAGGAACACCGGUGGCGAAGGCGGCUUACUGGGCUUUUACUGACGCUGAGGCUCGAAAGCGUGGGGAGCAAACAGGAUUAGAUACCCUGGUAGUCCACGCUGUAAACGAUGAUUACUAGGUGUGGGGGGACUGACCCCUUCCGUGCCGCAGUUAACACAAUAAGUAAUCCACCUGGGGAGUACGGCCGCAAGACUGAAACUCAAAUGAAUUGACGGGG
This 396-nucleotide ribosomal RNA is filed under the name uncultured bacterium. RNAcentral's name for it is "partial 16S ribosomal RNA". It matches the Rfam family "Bacterial small subunit ribosomal RNA", at positions 523 to 918 of the family's 1533-position model. The record is from RNAcentral.